RNAcentral lists this ribosomal RNA (458 nucleotides) under uncultured bacterium. RNAcentral describes it as "partial 16S ribosomal RNA". It matches the Rfam family "Bacterial small subunit ribosomal RNA", at positions 339 to 795 of the family's 1533-position model. The record is from RNAcentral.
CUACGGGUGCUCCAGUGAGGAAUAUUGGUCAAUGGGCGCGAGCCUGAACCAGCCAUCCCGCGUGCAGGAUGACGGCCCUAUGGGUUGUAAACUGCUUUUCUAUGCCAAGAAACCCUGUUACGAGUAACAGGUUGCCGGUAGCAUAGGAAUAAGCAUCGGCUAACUCCGUGCCAGCAGCCGCGGUAAUACGGAGGAUGCAAGCGUUAUCCGGAGUCAUUGGGUGUAAAGGGUGCGCAGGUGGGCUUGUAAGUCAGUGGUGAAAUGCUGCCGCUUAACGGUAGAACUGCCAUUGAUACUGCGAGUCUUGAGUAUGGUUGAGGUAGGCGGAAUGUGUUGUGUAGCGGUGAAAUGCAUAGAUAUGACACAGAACGCCAAUUGCGAAGGCAGCUUACUAAGCCAUUACUGACGCUGAGGCACGAAAGCGUGGGGAGCGAACAGGAUUAGAUACCCCCGUAGUC